Oryza brachyantha (malo sina) is the source of this 139-nucleotide non-coding RNA. Lineage: Eukaryota; Viridiplantae; Streptophyta; Magnoliopsida; Poales; Poaceae. The record is from Rfam.
AUGAUCAAUAAUGAAGAUCUUAUCCAAUACAUCAUCACUGGUUUGGGCCUAGAUUAUAGUGAAGUGGUGUCCGCUAUUUGUGCAAGAGGUGAACCGAUCACGUUGGGUGAGUUAUAUUCCCAACUCCUCAAUUUUGAAA